AGAGACAGCAGUCGCCGCGGUAAUACGAAGGGGGCUAGCGUUGUUCGGAUUUACUGGGCGUAAAGCGCACGUAGGCGGACUUUUAAGUCAGGGGUGAAAUCCCGGGGCUCAACCCCGGAACUGCCUUUGAUACUGGAAGUCUUGAGUAUGGUAGAGGUGAGUGGAAUUCCGAGUGUAGAGGUGAAAUUCGUAGAUAUUCGGAGGAACACCAGUGGCGAAGGCGGCUCACUGGACCAUUACUGACGCUGAGGUGCGAAAGCGUGGGGAGCAAACAGGAUUAGAUACCCCUGUAGUCCCUGUCUCUUAUAC
RNAcentral lists this ribosomal RNA (309 nucleotides) under uncultured bacterium. Its description in RNAcentral is "partial 16S ribosomal RNA". It matches the Rfam family "Bacterial small subunit ribosomal RNA", at positions 504 to 807 of the family's 1533-position model. The record is from RNAcentral.